RNAcentral lists this ribosomal RNA (90 nucleotides) under Photobacterium damselae. RNAcentral describes it as "partial 16S ribosomal RNA". It matches the Rfam family "Bacterial small subunit ribosomal RNA", at positions 1 to 88 of the family's 1533-position model. The record is from RNAcentral. Lineage: Bacteria; Pseudomonadati; Pseudomonadota; Gammaproteobacteria; Vibrionales; Vibrionaceae.
UUUAAUUGAAGAGUUUGAUCAUGGCUCAGAUUGAACGCUGGCGGCAGGCCUAACACAUGCAAGUCGAGCGGCAGCGACUUAACUGAACCU